AUACGUAGGGGGCGAGCGUUGUCCGGAAUGAUUGGGCGUAAAGGGCGCGUAGGCGGCGCGGUAAGUCUGGAGUGAAAGUCCUGCUUUCAAGGUGGGAAUUGCUUUGGAUACUGCCGCGCUUGAGUGCAGGAGAGGUUAUCGGAAUUCCCGGUGUAGCGGUGAAAUGCGUAGAGAUCGGGAGGAACACCAGUGGCGAAGGCGGGUAACUGGACUGCAACUGACGCUGAGGCGCGAAAGUGUGGGGAGCAAACGGGAUUAGAUACCCUGGUAGUCCACACUGUAAACGAUGAAUGCUAGGUGUAAGAGGUAUCGACCCCUUUUGUGCCGGAGUCAACACAAUAAGCAUUCCGCCUGGGGAGUACGGCCGCAAGGUUGAAACUCAAAUGAAUUGACGGGG
Molecule: ribosomal RNA, 397 nt
Filed under: uncultured bacterium
Lineage: Bacteria
Description: partial 16S ribosomal RNA
Rfam family: Bacterial small subunit ribosomal RNA
Source: RNAcentral